This 230-nucleotide unclassified non-coding RNA is filed under the name plant metagenome. RNAcentral describes it as "partial contains small subunit ribosomal RNA, internal transcribed spacer 1, and 5.8S ribosomal RNA". The record is from RNAcentral.
UCUCCGUAGGUGAACCUGCGGAGGGAUCAUUACAGAGUUCUCGCCCUCACGGGUAGAUCUCCCACCCACUGUUAUCGUUACUGUCGUUUCUUUGGCGGGCCGCCGGGUCCCCGGCCGCCGUCGCCUGGCUGCCGGCGCGCGCCCGCCAGAGGACUUCAAACUCUGAAUGUUAGUGUCGUCUGAGUACUAUAUAAUAGUUAAAACUUUCAACAACGGAUCUCUUGGUUCUG